Molecule: ribosomal RNA, 497 nt
Filed under: uncultured bacterium
Lineage: Bacteria
Description: partial 16S ribosomal RNA
Rfam family: Bacterial small subunit ribosomal RNA
Source: RNAcentral
GAUGAACGCUGGCGGCGUGCCUAAUACAUGCAAGUCGAGCGGACGGACGAGAAGCUUGCUGCGCUGUUGUUAGCGGCGGGCGUGUGAGUAACACGUGGAUAACCUACCUAUAAUACUGGGAUAACUGCGGGACACCGGAGCUAAUACCGGAGGAUAUUGUGAUCCGCAUGGUUCAGGAGUGAAAGACGGUCUUGCUGUCACUUAUAGCUGGAUCCGCGCUGUAUUAGCUAGUGGGUAAGGUAACGGCCUACCGAGGCAACGAUGCAUAGCCGAACUGAGAGGGUGAUCGGCCACCUUGGAACUGAGACACGGUCCAGACUCCUACGGGAGGGAGCAGUAGGGAACCUUACGCAAUGGGCGAAAGUCUUACGGAGCAACGGCGCGCGAGAGAUGAAGGUCUUCGGAUCGUAAAACUCUGUUACUAGGGAAGAACACAUGUGGAAGUAACUGUGCACAUCUUGACGGUACCUAAUCAGAAAGCCACGGCUAACUACGUG